RNAcentral lists this small RNA (699 nucleotides) under Pongo abelii (Sumatran orangutan). RNAcentral's name for it is "processed transcript". The record is from RNAcentral. Lineage: Eukaryota; Metazoa; Chordata; Mammalia; Primates; Hominidae.
GGAGCUGCGGGGUUACCAUGGGAACCGAACCGCCGCGCCUCGCCCAGGACAGGUACACUUAGAGGCCUUUUGUGUCCAGCUGGGCAGAAGUGCUGCACCACAGGCUGUGGUCGGAUCUGCUGAGACAUUCCUAAGGGGAGGAAAAGAGAUUGCCUUAGGGUUAUUCGGAAACAAUCCUGUUUGAAAAGGUGCAUCACUGAUGAGACAUGUCCAGGUGUAAAGAAAUGCUGCACGCUUGGCUGCAACAAGAGCUGUGUAGUCCCAAUCUCUAAACAGAAGCUGGGGCGGGGCGGUGAUUGUCCAAAAGUUCUGGUGGGCCUGUGCAUUGUUGGCUGUGUGAUGGAUGAGAAUUGUCAAGCUGGAGAAAAAUGUUGCAAGUCAGGCUGUGGCCGCUUCUGUGUCCCACCAGUCCUGCCCCCAAAACUGACCACGAACCCCAACUGGACUGUGAGGUCUGAUUCUGAAUUAGAGAUCCCGGUGCCCUAGCUGUGCUGAUUUGUCUGGAGCUUCUUUGGUAAUUCUGGAAGCUUUUCCUGGCAGUCAAGAGGGUGACAUCCUGGGGCUUGUGACAUUUCCAGGGGCACUCAUGGCCCUCUCUGCUCUGCUUCUCCUCCUGCCACUGACCAGAGCAUGGGAAAUAGCCCUGGAUUGGGCAGUGGGUGUGUGGUGCUUCUCUUUCCCAAUAAAGGCUGGUGCUGA